RNAcentral lists this ribosomal RNA (186 nucleotides) under uncultured Eubacteriales bacterium. RNAcentral describes it as "uncultured Clostridiales bacterium partial 16S ribosomal RNA". It matches the Rfam family "Bacterial small subunit ribosomal RNA", at positions 148 to 334 of the family's 1533-position model. The record is from RNAcentral. Lineage: Bacteria; Bacillati; Bacillota; Clostridia; Eubacteriales.
CUUUGGAAACGAAGAAUAAUACCCUAUAAAACCAUAAAAGCACAUGCUAGAAUGGUCAAAGUGAUAGCGGUGUAAGAUGGACUUGCGUCUGAUUAGCUAGUUGGUGAGAUAAAAGCUCACCAAGGCAACGAUCAGUAGCCGGCUUGAGAGAGUGUACGGCCACAUUGGGACUGAGACACGGCCCAG